CCUACGGGUGGCUGCAGUGGGGAAUAUUGGACAAUGGGCGAAAGCCUGAUCCAGCCAUGCCGCGUGUGUGAAGAAGGCCUUCGGGUUGUAAAGCACUUUCAGUGGGGAAGAAAGCCUUGGGGCUAAUACCCUCGAGGAAGGACAUCACCCACAGAAGAAGCACCGGCUAACUCCGUGCCAGCAGCCGCGGUAAUACGGAGGGUGCGAGCGUUAAUCGGAAUUACUGGGCGUAAAGCGCGCGUAGGCGGUCUGAUAAGCCGGUUGUGAAAGCCCCGGGCUCAACCUGGGAACGGCAUCCGGAACUGUCAGGCUAGAGUGCAGGAGAGGAAGGUAGAAUUCCCGGUGUGGCGGUGAAAUGCGUAGAGAUCGGGAGGAAUACCAGUGGCGAAGGCGGCCUUCUGGACUGACACUGACGCUGAGGUGCGAAAGCGUGGGUAGCAAACAGGAUUAGAUACCCCAGUAGUC
This 465-nucleotide ribosomal RNA is filed under the name Vreelandella stevensii. RNAcentral describes it as "partial 16S ribosomal RNA". It matches the Rfam family "Bacterial small subunit ribosomal RNA", at positions 338 to 795 of the family's 1533-position model. Lineage: Bacteria; Pseudomonadati; Pseudomonadota; Gammaproteobacteria; Oceanospirillales; Halomonadaceae. The record is from RNAcentral.